UGGGGAAUUUUGCGCAAUGGGCGAAAGCCUGACGCAGCGACGCCGCGUGUACGAUGAAGGCCUUUGGGUCGUAAAGUACUGUCAACGGGGACGAACGCCUCAGGUUGAAUAGGUCUGAGGUCUGACGGUACCCGUGGAGGAAGCACCGGCUAACUCUGUGCCAGCAGCCGCGGUAAUACAGAGGGUGCAAGCGUUAUCCGGAUUUACUGGGUUUAAAGGGUGCGUAGGCGGCUUUUUAAGUCAGUGGUGAAAGCCUAGACACUUAAUGUCAGAAGUGCCAUUGAUACUGAAGAGCUUGAGUCGAGGAGAGGUAAGCAGAAUUUGUGGUGUAGCAGUGAAAUGCUUAGAUACCAUGAGGAAUACCAACAGCGAAAGCAGCUUACUGGCCUUGUACUGACGCUGAGGCACGAAAGCGUGGGGAGCAAACAGGAUUAGAUACCCGCGUAGUCC
This 450-nucleotide ribosomal RNA is filed under the name uncultured prokaryote. RNAcentral's name for it is "bacterial SSU rRNA". It matches the Rfam family "Bacterial small subunit ribosomal RNA", at positions 355 to 796 of the family's 1533-position model. The record is from RNAcentral.